UCAGGGUGAAAUUCAGGCCCCGGGGGUCUU
This 30-nucleotide small RNA is filed under the name Bombyx mori (domestic silkworm). RNAcentral's name for it is "ovarian small RNA-25740". The record is from RNAcentral. Lineage: Eukaryota; Metazoa; Arthropoda; Insecta; Lepidoptera; Bombycidae.